CGGUCACAAGCUUGUUUUGAACAAAAUGUCGAAAUCUGACUAUUACAAACCUAGCUUCGCGCAUCCACUAAAUCCGAUACGUUCCGCUAGUUUUUUUUUUCGAAAUCCUUCGAUAUCGGUAGCUGUUCUCAACCAUCAACGUGACUCUCAGAAAAGUGAGGUUCUCCUCGUUUUCUCGGAUGCCGGGAGUUCCUUGACGUUUCCGGAGUAGCUAGUUCCCACCAUUUCUCUCUCUUCUCACCACCGCUGAUUUUUUUUUUUUGGUAAAAGUGCCACCAUUUAUUAAGAGGCUAUUCAAACCGGAAAAUUGAUUUAUGUAGAGUGUAAUGAAUUUAAAAAUAGAUAAAU
This 348-nucleotide long non-coding RNA is filed under the name Brassica napus (rape). RNAcentral describes it as "long non-coding RNA (BNAP_LNC020795)". Lineage: Eukaryota; Viridiplantae; Streptophyta; Magnoliopsida; Brassicales; Brassicaceae. The record is from RNAcentral.